This is a non-coding RNA of Monodelphis domestica (gray short-tailed opossum), 2862 nucleotides long. The record is from RefSeq and is a predicted model, not a curated record. NCBI's taxonomy places the organism in Eukaryota, Metazoa, Chordata, Mammalia, Didelphimorphia, Didelphidae.
UCUCUAGGGCUAGCUCUCAAUCCACUGAGCCACCCAGCUGCCCCCUAGAUUAUACUAUAUUCUGUUCAAUGUAGCAUACAUUAUACUACAUAUAUUAUAGUAUAGUAUGUAGUAUAUAUUAUGUACUAUGCUGCAUGUUUUGUAACAAUGUUAUAUAAUUUAUCAUAGUAUUAUAUACUCAUUUAAUUCAUAUAUUGACAGUAACAUCAUACUAUAUGUUAUAUAUACUAUGUAUAACUAGGGGCAGUUAGGUGGCACCGUGGAUAUAGUACCAGACCUAAAGCCAAGAAGAUUCAUCUUCCUGAGUUCAAACGUGGACUUAGAUACUUACUAGCUGUGUGACCUUGGGCAAGCCCCAUAACCUGAUUUGCCUGAGUUUCCUCAUCUAUAAAAAUAAACUGGAGAAGGAAUAGCAAACCACUUCAGUAUCUUUCCUAAGAAAACUCCAAGUGGAGUCAGGAAGUCAGACAUAACUGACAAAACUGAAUAAUAACACAUAAAACUAUUAAAGUGAAUAUGAAUAACAAAUACCAAGCGACCAACAAGUGAACCUUCAACAAAAACUCCAACUAGAAAUCAUUUACAUCUUAAUCAAAUAGGGAAAAUAUUCAUACCCUAAAUUUUGCAAUGUAAAAUUAAACUAAGGGCAGUAUAGUUUUCUUGAUAACAUUGCUAACAUUUCUGUUGAUAAAUUUUGGUUUGACAUAUACAAAAUUCCACCAUUUUCAUAAUUAAAUCCUCUACAGUGUCUCAUCCUCAUAAAACAAACAAAACGUCACAAAAGAAUGAAUGUGACAUGCAAUUCUAUGCUUUGGUGGUUUGUCGUUUAUUAAGAGAAAAGCCGAUGUGUUCUUUUAAAGUUAAUAUCAAAGUUGUCAAUGUCUUUGAUCUAAGUCUUCUUACCAUUUAAAGUUGUCUUCAUUUCUGUAAUGUCCUUUUCUACCACAUUGAGAAGACAUUCUGUUGGGCAAAGGGGGUCAUAUCUUUAAAAAAAAAACAAAAACCUUAUCUUCUGUCUUAGAAUCAAUACUGUGUUCUAAGGCAGGAUAUCAGAAAGGGCUAGGCAAUGGGGAGGGGGGGUUAAGUGACUUGUUCAGUUAGAAAGUUUCUGAGUCCAGCUUUGAACCCAUGACCUCCAGUCUCUAGGCUAUGUGCUAAGCUACCUAGCUGCUCCCAAGAGGUUAUGUCUUAAAGGGACAACAUCAAUUUUCUCCUAUCUCUGGAAGAUACUGGGAUGCUAAUUUUUACUAGGACUUAGUGUUGGGGGGUAGACAGGCAGUGUUUGAUUCAAGGAAAGAACUGGAGACACUUGAAGAAACGUUUGCUGCUAUGCAGCCUCUGCUAUAAUCACAAUGAAGGUGCCUAAACCAGAAGGAAGUUCAACUGGCACAUAUGAAAGACAAACUGUAGCCAGAUUGCCAAGAAGGAAGGUGUCAUUGCAUUAUGUCUCUCCCUUUUUACAUUCUCUCUUUCUCCCCUCUACAGGAGAAUAAAUUUCUAUUCCAAUGUUCUUUCUCUCUUGAGAAUUCUCGAGAAUUGUCAUUCUCGGUCACCGAGAGACUACCACUAAUACUGGCUAAGCACUAUCCAUUUGAGCAUCUCUUGCAAGAACAGCAUUGAAUGAGCUUCCAGCUUCAAGAGAUAAGAUGGAAUAAACCAACUGUUCACUUCAGGUUGCUGAAGGAAAAGAUUCUGGGAAGAAAUAAGAAGAGCCAGCAGGCCCUAUCAAGUCAUUAUUCUCAGCUUGCUGCACUAGAGAUUUGGGGACAUUUCCCCUUAGAGAAACUAAGAGUUGGAGUCAAGAUGGUAGAGAUAACUGAGCAUUUCUGCUGGGCUCUCCCAGUCCAAACUUCCAAACACCUUUUUAAAGUAUGCCUCAAAAAAAUUCUGAGUGGGAGAAAACAAUGAAAAAGUCACAGAAUCUCAUUAUUCCAUCCAGGACAACAUAGGAAGACUGGAAGAGAGGUCUGCCAGUGGACACUGGGAUAGGGGCUGGCUGGGAUCAUGUAUGGAGAAGGCAGCACUGGUUGUGGUAGCAGCAGUGCUGGCAGUGAUAGCUCCAAGAGUGUUGAACACCUAAGGGUGGUAAGGAGAGUGAACACCUGGGCAGGAAUUUAUUAUAGACAACGCCUAUUAUAAUACUGGGCAUAGGACCAAGAACUAUUUGGCAGUUUCUUUACCUAUUACCCAGUUCUUGGUUGCAAGUCCAAGGUGAAAAGGAGAACUUAUGGUCUGUAGUCAUGAGGGAGUAGAGGCCCAGAGUGUAGACAAGGAAGAUAGUGAUCAGAACUCUCUUUAGACCUCCCCAUCUAGGAAGCACUGAAAAUCUGUGACUUAGAAGCUUUGACUAGCUAUCCCCUUCUAUUCCCCCUAUGCCCUCCAGAGGUCAGUAGAGUCCAACUCUGACAUGAAGUUCAAAAUCAAAAAAGUCUAGAAAAAUUUAAAAAGGGGGAAAAUCUGAUGAUAAAAACCUUCUGUGGAAAUAGGGAAACUCAAGUCAAACUCAAAAGAAGAAAAUAUCUAUUAGCAAAGUCUCAAAGGAAAAAAAUGUGGAAUGGACACAAGCCCAACAAGGAUACUUAGAGGAGCUAAAGAGGUUUUUUAAAAAAGAACUAAGAAUAAUUUUUAAAAUCAAAUAAGGGCAGUGGAGGAAAAUUUGAGAAAAAUGAAAACACAAGAAAAUUAUGAAAAAAGAAUGAAUAAUUUGGUAAAAGAUGUAUAAAACCUUAUGAAAGAAAAGAAUAUUCAAAAUUACAAUUGGUCGAAUGGAAGCUAAUGACUCCAUGAAAUAUCAAGAAAAAAUAAAAUAACACCAAAAUAGAAAAAUGGAAGAAAAUGUUAUAUAUGUCAUUAGAAAAAAUA